UCUGAAGUGGGACACAAUUGUGUGCCCUCGCUAGGGUAACCGGCACCGUCAGAUCUGGUAGGUUGCAUCAAAGCCGCAAAAAUAUAGAUUUUUUUUUGGGGUGCUAGGGUUAAUGGGAUCAGGCAAACGUGGGCAGGUUUUGUGAGGAGGAAGAAGAAAAGAAAAAGGCUGGUGGGGUUUGAGUAGUUCAGUAAUCUCUCAAGUCCAAUAUUCUUCUUGGGAUUUGUGGUAAAAAAGACUCUAAAUUCCUUCUAUAAAUACUGCCACUCCCACUUUUCUUCUUUCCAAGCCAAUGCGCUGCAAACCCCAUCUCUUCUCUUCUCUUCUUUUCUCUUAUCUUCUCCUUCAAACUCCCACAAAAAUCUUGUUGUCUUGCUUCCAUUGUUGCCUAGCUAGCUCCCUCGUCGGAUUUUUAAAUGUUUCAUAUCCUAAAUCUAUACCUGUUUUGUGCAAAUAUGAAUGAUCCUCUUUGUAUUCUUCCACAGCUUUCUUGAACUGCAUCUACUAUGAACUUGAUGAUUGUUGCAUGGCGGAUUCUUGUUUUUGUUUUGUUGCGGUUCAAUAAAGCUGUGGGAAGAUACUGAUAGGGUCAAGAAAGAAAGCUUUGCUACUUGUCGUCCGAUUCCAUGUCCUGUGUUCUUGGUAUUACUUUGAUUUAAUCCUCUUUACAUUGAUUGUUAGAUUUCUUAUAAUUUUAUCUUCAUGACUUAAUUAAUUGUGAUUUGUUUGGUUUCUUGGAUCUGUUGAUUUUUACUUUUCUUCACUGAUUCUUAAUCAUGAGAUUCUGCUGGCAUCGAAUUUGAAUAUGAACAUGAUUAUUCCUGAUUCUCUUUCUUCUUCUUCUCUAUUAAUGAGUUUCUUUCUUUUGCAUAUCUCCAUAUAUAGAAUGUACUCCCUUCCAAAGAAAUUUAUACAUAAAAAGAAAAAAUCAGUCUCUGAGUUUUUCCUUUUUCCUUUGUUGCAGUUCAUUUCACUUCUGCUUUCUUUAACAAGCAGCUUUUUGUAGACAAGAUUUAUGGUGGCCCAUGUGGUGAAAGUUCCAACUUCUAAUUGAGUUUAUAUAUAAUUAUUACAGGGCUUCUGAUCUGCAUCCAUACCUUGUCGGUUGAUACGAUAACAGUUAAUUUUUCCAUAAUUUUCAUACAACCAUGGAUUUGAUACAUACGAUCUGUUAGCUGCCUUGCUUUUCCUUGUAGUGUCAGUGAAUAAAUCUUGAUAAAAAUUGUCAAAUUAAUUAGGCUUAGAGAGCAGUCAUGGUAUUUCUAACUACAAUCUACAUGGACCACAACCUAAUUCAUGUUUCCAAUUAGUUAGGUAAACCUUCAAUCGGACAAGAAUAAACAUAAAACAAAUGCUACAAAUAUAUUAUAUAUUUCCAAUUUUUUAAAAGAAAUUAGCUGUAAAUAGAGCAACUUGGACAAAAAUAAUGCAUGAGGAAGCUUUCAGAAGGAAAUUUAGGGUCAUUUUGCCCUUUAAAAACAAAGGGAAAGGACAAGUAGCUAAAAAAAAAAAAGACAUUGUCUUGUCUUAUUACUGCUGACAUAUUUUAAAAUCACUACAAGAAUAGUUAUAUUUUUACCUUUUUACAGCAAAUGAUUUCAUGGUUUUCUUGCCUAGCUUCUCCUUGGAUGUAAAUAUAGUAGAAACAAUACAACUUUUCUUCUGUGCUCUAGUUGUAGUGGUGGACAUUGCAUGACCAAACUAUAAGGAUCCCUAAUAGUUGGACUGAAAAAAAAUAAUAAUGUAAUAAUAAUAAUAAUAAAGAAACUAUUAGCUGGAUUUUCAGACACGAUGGUUGUCCUAAAUUCAUCCCAUUAAUAGGCCACCUCUUCUUUUUCUCUUUUAUACAGAUAACUAUUAUUGCACUGCUCUUAUAUUAAUUUCUUUAAGUUAGCCAACUAAUGUGUUAAUUUAUAAGCCGCCGAUCUUUUGUUCUUCUUUAUGAUUCUGCUUUAGUGUUUUCGUUUGCUUCUUGAAUGUAUAGUAUUUAAUUGACAUGGUUGCCUUCACUUUAGACAGCACAGUUUAUGGAAAACCAAUGUGGGAUCAGAAAAGUGUUCAUGUAUAAUUAAGAUUAAAAUGAAUUGAUGUAUUUCUUACACGUUCAUCCAAGUCAAAAGGUGGGAUUAGUUUGUCUGCUUACAUAUAUGUGUGUGUUUGUCAGGCUUCCUUUGGAGGAGAAAGACAUUAGGGUUAGGAAAAGGUUAAAUUUUCUUGUGCUUUGUGAAAGAAAUAAGAAUUAAAUAAAAUAGAUAAAUUAUGAAAUUGGACCUGAUAUACCACAUGUACGUACCUUUUUCACUCACAAAAAUUUAUUUUUUUUUUUUGAAUUUUUUGAAUUAUGGAUGAUGAAAUCCAUAAUAGGAAAGUCCAUUAUGAAUAGGGAAGUACAUAAUUCUGUGAUAUAUAAAAUAAUUUUUCGAAUAUAAUAAAUAUGAUUUAGGACAGU
RNAcentral lists this long non-coding RNA (2449 nucleotides) under Manihot esculenta (cassava). Its description in RNAcentral is "long non-coding RNA (MESC_LNC003422)". The stretch from base 468 to 586 matches the Rfam family "MIR396 microRNA precursor family". The record is from RNAcentral. Lineage: Eukaryota; Viridiplantae; Streptophyta; Magnoliopsida; Malpighiales; Euphorbiaceae.